Molecule: unclassified non-coding RNA, 25 nt
Filed under: Mus musculus (house mouse)
Lineage: Eukaryota; Metazoa; Chordata; Mammalia; Rodentia; Muridae
Description: oocyte_clustered_small_RNA6943
Source: RNAcentral
UUUGAAGGCACAAAGGAGUCAUGGA